Molecule: transfer RNA, 71 nt
Filed under: Podarcis lilfordi (Lilford's wall lizard)
Lineage: Eukaryota; Metazoa; Chordata; Lepidosauria; Squamata; Lacertidae
Description: tRNA.Glu
Source: RNAcentral
GGACAGUGGCUCAGUGGGAGAGCAUCUGCUUUUCAUGCAGAAGGUCCCAGGUUCAGUCCUCAGCACCUCCA